AUUGAACGCUGGCGGCAUGCUUUACACAUGCAAGUCGGACGAGUGGCGAACGGGUGAGUAACGCAUCGGAACGUACCGAGUAAUGGGGGAUAACUGUCCGAAAGGACAGCUAAUACCGCAUAUUAUUCGAGCGGCCGAUGUCUGAUUAGCUGGUUGGCGGGGUAAAGGCCCACAAAGGCGAUGAUCAGUAGCCGGUCUGAGAGGAUGAACGGCCACAUUGGGACUGAGACACGGCCCAGACUCCUACGGGAGGCAGCAGUGGGGAAUCUUCCGCAAUGGACGAAAGUCUGACGGGGCAACGCCGCGUGAGUGAUGACGGCCUUCGGGUUGUAAAGCACUUUCAGCGGGGAGGCGUUACCCGCAGAAGAAGCACCGGCUAACUCCGUGCCAGCAGCCGCGGUAAUAC
RNAcentral lists this ribosomal RNA (406 nucleotides) under uncultured bacterium. Its description in RNAcentral is "partial 16S ribosomal RNA". It matches the Rfam family "Bacterial small subunit ribosomal RNA", at positions 30 to 526 of the family's 1533-position model. The record is from RNAcentral.